UAUCUAUAAGAUGCUUUAUUCCUAAUUGCCUCCAACAACUUCUUCCCCCACUUAAUUGAAAGAAGAACUAUUUUCCAUGAGAACAUAAAUUCAGGACAAGGAUGAAACCAAAUGACCCACUUAGUCUAUUUGGUCUAGUUCAGAGUUUUCAACUCCAGCACCAUCAACACUGCAGUGGAUAAUCUUCUAUUGUGGGGGACCACCACAUUCACUGAAGGAUGUUUAAUAGCAUCUUUGGCCUUUACCCAGCAGACAUUAGUAGCAUCCCAGUUAUAACAGCCCCAGAUGCCUCUAGGCAAAGCCAAAUGUCUCCUGAGAGCGGAGACUUGGCAAAAUUGUCAUAGUUGAGGACCACUUGCUGAUGUUUUCUUAUUUGAGAAAAUACAUUAUGAUGAAAUUCCAUAGUCCAGACAAGAAGGAAGAAAUUGGCUUCAAGUGACACGGCAACCAAUGUCUGAAGAAGACAUGGUGAUCUUCUUGAACCUUCAUAAUGAAGCACAUCAGCUCUGUCAAAAUCAGGACAGAAUCAUAAUUCUGUGGGGAAUGUAUGUUUCCCAUCACUUAUGUGGCUCUGGAACUUAACCAAAACCCCUAAGUACGGCAGUACUUUGCAUGUUUUACAAAGGGGGAAACUGAAGCCCCACUAAGUUGUGAUGUGUGACCCGGGACUCAGGCUGAGAGCAGGGCACAGCCAGAGAGAACAAGAGAGAGGAGAAUUCCUGAGAGAUGUUUAUAUCAAGUUGAGUCUUCAGAACCAUACAGCUGUGAGUCUGGAAGGCAUCUGCUAACUCCUGUGUUCUGCACUGUGGGUUAUGAGGUUGAGGGUGGGGAAUGGAUUGCUUAGGGCAUCUACAGAGAUCCUUAGCUUCUGAGUUGCAGGGGAGGAGAAGAUGGGAUGGAAACAGGCAAGAAAACUCUGGAAGAAAGAACUAAGAUGUCUAGUGGAAGAUUCCAUUGCUUCUACUGUGUGCUGGUGCUGUGAGUUCUCCCUGUUGAAUACUCAUGAAAUCUUGCAUAAAAUGUGCAUUUUUCAUUAUUGCAUCAUGGAGCUGGCUCAGCCACUGGAUGUGGGGACUAGGUCUCAAGGCAGCUUCAGGAAGCUGGCUCUUGAGGUCUGGUUCGUCUAGGUUGCUAUAUUGAUCAUAAGAGCAUGGUAGAGCCAGACUCACCAGGAUGUUCCUAUCACCAGACACCCUACACUUAUCAGCAACUGUCAACUUAUGAGGCAGAUGAUUUAUUUUGCUGUUUUGCAGUUCUGGAAAGUGAAGCUCAGGAAAGUGAUGCCACUUUCCCAAGACUGACAAGGUAGUAUAUAGUAGAGCUGGCAAGCCCAGCCUCUUAACUGCAACAGACUUCCUCCUGAGGAAAGAAGGCAGGCUUCAUAUAUUUUUCUGUUUUUAGGUUUCUUCACUGGACAGAGGAAAAUACUCUCUGGAGGCAAAAAAAUAUACAGGGGUUUCACUUCAACCAAUGACAUCAGUCUCACUUCAGGUAGGGUAGGGCAGACCUGGGAGAAAUGGCUUCCUCCAUCAGACUGGGUCUUGUGCAUUCCUCAGGAUUCCUCUAGAGACCAGGCAAACACAUGACUGUCCUCAGGCCGUUGCUCUCCUUAUAUUCUAUAAGGAGGGCUUAGUGACUGCUGUAUCAGUCCUUUGUGGUGAAAUUUGGGAGUGACCAUAUUAGCAACCCCAUCAGUAUAGAUUGUCUGGUCUUGUCUUUGCUGCUGAAGUCUGUGUGUGCAAAGGCACUCAUCCAGCAGUUAAAUGGUCUCUGAAAGCUGGCACUUCAGAUAGAAAUGUUCCUUAACUUUCAAUGGGUUAUGUCCCAGAAAAUCCAUCUUAAACUGAAAAUAUCCUAAAUCCAAAGUGCACUUAAUCCACCAAGCCUAUCACACAUCCUAUAGCUGAGCAACACAGCACGCUGUAGACCAUUGGCUAUGCUCCUUGCUAUUGGUUGGGCUGACUGGAGGCUGUGAUUAGCACUGCCCAGUGUCACAAGGGAGGAUCAGAUGGCAUAAAACUAUCCUGGGGAAAAAUCCAAAUUAAUAGUUCCAAGUAUGGCUUCUAUGGAAUACAUGUUGCUUUCCCGUCAUCAUAAAGUAAAAACAAACAAACAAACAACAAUCCCAAACAAACCCAAAAAACAAUAAUCAUAAAUCAGAACCAUUGUAAGUCAGAACCACUGCACCAGUGAUGAAUGCUGCCAUGUUUGGAAGAGACUGGAAGUCAGUAUGGUGGCCUUGGCUACUGUUUGGAGGUUUCAAGAAGCGUAUCAAGGAGAAGCAAAGAAGAAUCAAGAACUCUUUCCAAGAGAUACAAGAUCUGGAUCUGAGGAGGAGCAGAAAACUGGCCCCCAAACCGCAACAUGAACCCAGCAAGCCUGGCUCAAGUUGGAGGAGCCAAGAGUGAAAACCCGGUGAGCAUUCACGAUCAAGUUCGGGUACAUUAUAUGCACAGUCAGCUUUUGCAAACGGUCUUGGAGAUGACACCAGAGUGUGACACACACUUACCACUUUCCCAGAGAGCUGGUCAGAUGUGUACUCAGGAAAAGGAAAUACACAAAAACUGUUAGUAAACACUUUUGGGACUCUGGGGAAGGAGUGAGCCAUUCAAGUGUGUGUGUGUGU
Long non-coding RNA from Fukomys damarensis (Damara mole-rat), 2626 nucleotides. RefSeq lists it as uncharacterized. The transcript is spliced from 3 exons. Lineage: Eukaryota; Metazoa; Chordata; Mammalia; Rodentia; Bathyergidae. The record is from RefSeq and is a predicted model, not a curated record.